RNA transcript from Carassius gibelio (silver crucian carp), 6367 nucleotides. It is a transcript of the gene named nephronophthisis 3, with no coding region annotated. The record is from RefSeq and is a predicted model, not a curated record. The transcript has 29 exons. Lineage: Eukaryota; Metazoa; Chordata; Actinopteri; Cypriniformes; Cyprinidae.
GCGGUUGUCAGGAAGAGAUUGGUGAGAAAACGUGUGCCUCAGUAUGAUUUGAUUUCUUUUUGACUAAUAUGCCAACCGUGUUUAUGAACACGUUACUUAUCGAUGUAUAUUUGGGAUCUUAGAUUGGCAUCAGUUCUGUCUAAGCUCCUCGUCCUGGAUCUCCUCAGUCCUCUCGGUUGGGUGGAGUGUUUUUCUUCACUCAGGAUGAUCGCGGGGUUCAAGACCACAGUUUAAGCUGACAGGUGUCUUUGUGGCACACCUCAUCCGUUGUUAUGGGUACGGCUUCCUCUCUGGUGAGCCCCGGGGAGGUGAUUGAGGAUGCGUAUGGGGGUGAGGGAGGGGAGGCGUGUGAGAUACCGGUGGAGGUGAAACCAAAGGCCCGUCUGCUGCGGAGCUCCUUCCGCCGUGGGCCUCGUGUCAUCGGCGCCAGCUUCAAAUCUACCGGAUCGGUGGAACUGGAGUAUGCGGCGGAGUAUGAGCGCCUCAGGAAAGACUACGAGAUCUUUAGGGUCAGCAAGAACAACGAGAUCGCCUCCAUGCAGAAGAAAGAAGCCAAGCUGGACGAGGAGAACAAGAGACUGCGUGCUGAGCUGCAGGCUCUUCAGAAGACUUACCAGAAGUUUCUUCGAGAGAAGGAAAGUGCCCUGGAGGCAAAGUAUCAAGCAAUGGAGAGAGCUGCCACCUUUGAACAUGACCGAGACAAGGUCAAACGGCAGUUUAAGAUAUUCCGGGAGACUAAAGAAAAGGAAAUUCAGGAUUUGCUGCGGGCAAAACGAGAUCUGGAGUCCAAACUUCAACAGCUGCAGGCUCAAGGCAUUCAGAUUUAUGAUCCAGCAGACUCGGAUUCAGACGACAACCGCACCACUGUCACCACUGCAGGAACUCAGUGUGAGUACUGGAGUGGUGGCAUAUUGGGCAGCGAGCCGUCCAUGGGCAGUAUGAUGCAGUUACAGCAGACACACAGAGGUCCAGAAUUCGCUCACAGUCUGAUUGACGUGGAGGGGCCGUUUGCCAAUGUCAGCAGAGAUGAUUGGGAUGUGGCUGUAGCCAGUCUGCUGCAAGUUUCUCCUCACGUCUCUCAGGCUCUGUGGAGUAACACAGUCCGCUGCUACCUCAUAUACACACAGGAGACCAGAGCGGAGCUGCAGGCCUUUAUACAAACUCAUUCUUUGAAGCUGCAGAGGUUUUGUGAGGGUUUGGGUCAUUUCUACCUGAAUGUGUCAUUUCCUGAGGAGAAAGCUGCUCUGUAUGCUGCUGAACGCAGGCGGGAGAUCGAGAGGAGCUCUGUGUGCGUGCUGCUACUCAAGUCCUCAGUGUCCAGUUGUGUGAUAGAGGAUGUGGAGGAAGCAUUUGUGGAAACCCCAGACUCUCGGCCUCUCUUGCUGUAUUUGCGAACUGGUGAGAGAAAAGGAGAAAAGGAAGAGGUCUUCACCCUCAGCCCAUCCACUAGAGACCUGCUGGAGAGAGUUAACAAAGCUGACAAGAGUGCCAAACUUAAGGUAGUGGAUCAUGCAGGGUCUGUAGAGGAAGGAGCUGCUCUUAUAUUCACUCAACUUGAAAGAGUUAUCAAACAGGAGCUGUUGGGUUUGGAGUUAGAAGAGAGCGGAGCGGUGGAGGAGAGAGAAGAGGAAGACUCUGGGGAUGUGCUGUGGGAUCUUCAUGAUGAGCAGGAGCAGAUUGAGGCGUUCCAGCAGGCUUGCAGCGCAGCAUCCAGAUUCAGCUUCCAGAAGUAUGUCGACCGACUCAAUGACAUGGUAGCCGCCCCUCCACCCACCCCACCACUCCUGGUAUCUGGUGCACCUGGAUCGGGCAAAUCACUUCUGCUGGCUAAAUGGAUAGAGUUACAGCAGAAACACUCUCCCAACACCCUCAUCCUGUAUCACUUCACGGGACAUCCUCUCUCUACCAGCACAGAUCCAGUGCUCAUCAUUAAGCGCCUCACAGUGAAGCUGCUCCAGCAUUUCUGGUCUAUUUCUGGCCUCUCGAUGGACCCUUCUAAGAUCCUCGAAGAGUUCCCACGCUGGCUAGAGCGGCUGUCCGCGUGUCACAACGGCAACAUCAUAAUCAUCAUUGACUCCAUUGACCAAAUACAGAAUGCCGAGCGGCACAUGAAAUGGCUGAUUGAUCCUCUUCCUGCAAAUGUGAGAGUCCUGGUGUCCGUUAAUGUGGAGACCUGCCCACAGGCAUGGAGAUUGUGGCCCACGCUGCACCUGGACCCGCUCAAUCCCAGAGAGGUGAAGAGUGUCAUCAGCACCGAGUGUGUGAACAGCGAAAUCAAACUCACCAAAGAUCAGGAGAAGAAGUUGGAGAGACAUUGCCGUUCAGCUGCAACAUGCAACGCGCUCUAUAUCUCACUGCUGGCGAGACUUAUUACACACUCUAGAUCCUCCUGGACAUUGGAGAUGACUCUGCAGCAGUGUGCGUUGUGUCAAGAUACAGUAUCGCUAUACAGACUGGGCCUGAAGGCAGCGCUAGACUCACUCAGCACGGAUCAGGAAAAACACAUCAUGAAAGAGUUGUUGUGCUUGGUCUGCGCCAGUCACAACGGCAUUAGUGAAUCAGAGGCUUUGGAGCUGUUCCCAGACCUGAGUUUUCCCGCUCUCACCUCACUGCUCCACAAUCUGGAGAGACUCCUCAUCAUUACCUACGCCUGUGGCCUCGUUCGCUUUCAGCACCCACAGGCAUGUGAAGCGGUCAACCAAGAGUUUCUGGAUGGGGGCAAAUGUCGUGGAUCCUACAGCGACAAAAUCAUUCGGUUCUUCAGUGAACAGCUGAACCAAGACAGAGUGACGUGGAGGGUGGCUGAUGAAUUGCCAUGGUUACUGCAGCAGCAGGACGAUCGAAGUAAACUCCAGAUGAGUUUGCUUAACUUGUUUGUGUCCCAGAACCUGUACAAGAGGGGUCAUUUUUCUGAGCUGCUGACAUACUGGCAGUUUGUUGGUAAGGAUAAGUGCUCGAUGGCGACAGAGUAUUUCGACUCAUUGAAAGAGUUUGAGAAGACCUGUGAGAGUGAGCAGAGCAUGAGCCAACUGGCCAACCUGUACGAGACACUAGGCCGCUUCCUCAAAGACCUGGGACUGCUCAGCCAGGCGGUGGCCCCCUUGCAGCGCUCCUUAGAGAUCCGUGAGACGGCUCUUGAUCCGGACCACCCAAGUGUGGCUCAGUCCCUGCACCAGCUGGCCGGGGUUUACGUUCAUUGGAGGAAAUUUGGAAACGCAGAGCAGUUGUACAAACAAGCAAUGGAGAUUUGUGAAAACGCUUACGGCCCUGAACACAGCACUGUCGCUAGAGAACUAGACUCACUCUCGCUCCUCUACCAGAAACAGAAAAAAUAUGAGCAGGCCGAGAAGUUGAGAAAGAGAUCAGUCAAGAUCAGACAGAAGACAGCACGACAGAAAGGCCACAUGUAUGGUUUUGCUCUCUUGAAGCGGCGGGCUCUGCAGUUAGAGGAACUUACUCUUGGCAAAGACUCCGCAGAGAGCGCCAAGACUCUAAAUGAGCUUGGAGUGCUUUAUUACCUGCAGAACAACCUGGAUGCUGCAAAAAUGUUCUUGACCCGUUCCCUGGAGAUGCGCCAGCGCGUGCUGGGGCCAGAUCACCCCGACUGCGCCCAGUCUCUGAACAACCUAGCUGCGCUUCACAGCGAAAGGAAAGAGUAUGAGAGUGCUGAGGAGCUGUACGAAAGAGCACUUGACAUCCGUAAACGAGCACUGGCCCCAGAUCACCCCUCUCUCGCCUAUACCCUCAAACACCUGGCCAUGCUUUAUAAACGCAGGGGGAAGCUGGAAAAGGCAGUUCCUCUAUAUGAACUGGCUCUUGAAAUCAGAGAGAAGAGCUUCGGGCCUAAACACCCCAGUGUUGCCACAGCUUUGGUUAACCUUGCAGUGCUCUAUUGCCAGCUGAAGCAGCACAGUGAUGCAUUGCCUUUGUACGAGCGCGCUCUAAAGGUAUAUGAGGACAGUCUCGGCCGACUACACCCUCGUGUUGGAGAGACUCUGAAAAACCUGGCUGUACUCAGCUAUGAAGAGGGAGAUUUUGAGAAGGCUGCUGAACUGUACAAGCGAGCAAUGGAAAUAAAAGAGGCAGAGCCAUCUCUAGUGUGCGGUAAGGCCCCCUCACGUCACUCAUCUAGUGGUGAUACCUUUAGCCUGCGAAGCCCCGCCCUGCCUCACACCUCAAGGUGACACCUGACCCCUCAACACUUACCAAGUUGAACUCUUACCUCUAUUAAUGAAGCCAUAUUGGCCACACUUGGUGUGUUCAAGCAUUUGCUUGAUGUCUACAUGGAGCAAUCAAAUAUGCAUGGUAAGAAAACAUUGGAGCCCAACAUGGUUCUCAUUCCUACUGUAAUUUACAGUAUGAAUCAUAAGUGUUUUAAUGUAUCAUCCCUUGCCACUGGGUUUUGAACGGUUUCUCUCUGGCUUGCAAAAAGGCAAAUCCUGAAAAAGUGUUUUAUACUUGUGGUUUUCAAUUAAUGUUGAAGCACAGCACUCAAUAGCCUCAGCAAACCAAUUGAAUUUCAAAUGCACUGCUGGUAAACUGUUAGGCCACCUCAGAGUGUAAGAAAGAAAAAGUAGUAAUAAUAAAAACUGACUGUUAGAAGUUUAAAUACAUUUGGGAGAUAUAGAGGUACAUGAGAUACUAAGUAGAGAGAUAUGAAGUCAAAAUUACAAGACAAGAUGUCACAGUUGCAAGAAAUACCAAGUCUAAAUUACAAAAAAUAGGGAUGCAAUUAUGAGAAAUAUUAUAUAUAUAUAUAUAUAUAUAUAUAUAUAUAUAUAUAUAUAUAUAUAUAUAUAUAUAUAUAUAUAUAUAUAUAUAAACUAAAGUCGAGAUAUGAAAUUGCAAUUAGAAGACAUGCAAUUGCAGUUACAAGAUAUAUAGUAGCAACUGCAAUUAUGAGAUGUACAUAAAUACGUAAAUAAUGCAAUAAAGUAAUUUGUUGAAAUAAUGUAAUGUGAAUUUGGCUUCCAAUUAUAUAAAUUCACAAUUACGAAAUAAGAUAUGUAGCAGAAACAGCAAAAAAAUAUAUUGCAUAUCAAGCUGUGAAGGCACAGUUAUGAAGUGUGAAGUUGCAACUACAAGAAAUGGUAGUGCAAUUAUCUCUUUUCUUCUCUCAGAUGGCAAAAGGCCUUCAUAGUAAUGAAGCAUGAUUGUUCAUGCAACGGAAAUAUUACUUACAUUUUCUCUAUGUAUUUACUCCCAACAUUUACUCCAAUUAUCACUGAGAAACUUUUUUAAAUUCUUAUUAUUAUAAACUUGAGCACGUCAAAGGGUUGGUUGAAGAAAUAUUUUACCUUGGUAUUUUAUACAAUGUCAGUAUUAGUUUCUUCCAGAGCACUUUUCACUUGCAUGGUAUGAAAACAUUUUGGAAAAAGUGAUGUGUGACCAAUUUCAGCAGGUUUUUUCAGGUUUCUAUCACUGCUGCCUUCAGCAUAUGUAAACCGAAGUCAAGCAUAAUGGAAAUUUGAAUCAAUUGAGAACCGCAAUACAUUGACUAAAUACCUUCUUAUAAAGGUGAAAUAUGUAUUCCAGAGUCUCAACUCCUCCUUCUGGUCUAUGGCCUGCUUCCUGUCAUGCAAAGUAACCUUAUCAUCCCCAUUAAAUGCUGAACAGUUGUAUAUUGCGAAGUAUUACUAAAGGAAGGCUGACGUACAUAGCCAUACAAAACACUAUAACAAUAUCAAGAUAAGAGUUCAUGAAGAAGUCUGAGAUUAUUGUAUUCAAUAUUUAAUUAAUUGUAUAGGUCUCAUUUUUUAGUUUAAAUGGCUCAACACCACAGAACACAGCAUGUGCAAUAAUUAUGCUUCUUGUAAAGCACAAUGACAGUGUCUAUAUAUGUAGUUUAGUAUUAGAAUGACUUUAUCUGAAAAUAUAGAUCCAUAUGAUAUUACGACCCAUAUUUUUGUAUUUGGAAUUAUUUUUUUUGGGAAUUGUGAAAGUACAAUACCUUGCCAUAUCACGUGUCUGGUUCUGAUGUCUACCUGUUUUCUUAGACUAGAUAGACAUGUAUAAUGAAGGAAUAUAAACAGAAUAUAUAAUUACUGAAUGUCUGCAAAUACUUAUGGGUGUUUGAAAACUGUUUGUAAAGGUGCUAAAUCAGAUUCAGUGUUAUGUGCCUCAUUUUUGCAGAGAAAUCAUAUUUGAACGGUUACAUUUUGAGAGAACAUGCUAAUUAUUUAAUAAUUUACUCUAAACUUCCAUUAUUGCUUGUAUUACGUCACAUUGUUGUUAUACAGUUUGUUCCAGGACUUUUAUACACUGCCAAAAGAAGUGUACUUUAUACCCAAAUUCUUCUGAUGCACAUGAUGCACGCACAAAAUAUUGUGUAUCAUCUACCAAUAAAUGCAUAAUUGAAUGAAAAUAA